GUUUGGUCUGGGCGUGCGAACGAGAGAAGGAACCAAGGGAACCAAAACCCUAAACAACCUAAAAUCAUCAAAUUGAAAGGGGAAUCGAGGGCUGAUCGAAUGCAUGAGUCUAGAUACCCUUUAAUCUAAGUGUAUUGAUCAUAAGGAACGUGUCAAGGAGAGCUCAAGCAUAGGAGGAUAACGGGUCAAGAUAAGGCAAGGUGACAAAUACACUUAUUGGAAUACUCAAGGUGAUGAAUGUCGGACUUUCGAAGUGUUGAUAUAAUAAUGAAACGGUUGAAUGUUGAAAGGAUAAUCGGACUGAAGUAACUUAUGCGGUAAAUCCUCAAUUUUGGCGACUUGGAGAAUCGGAGCGAGCGCGUGUUCGUGUUAUGCGAUACCAAACGCUUCCGCUAGUUUGUUCAAGUGUUUUUGACCCAAAAUUUGUUGUAUUGGUUUUUAGUAGUAUCUUGUUGAACGAAUUGUAGAAUUGUAUCUAGUUUGUUUAUGUUUAAAACAGGGGUAUGCUCGUUUUAUGGACGGGUCAUGCCCGAUUUUUUGUUAAAUUAUAGUUUGAUAAUAUCACAUUUAGGAAGGUGAAAUUUUGG
Molecule: long non-coding RNA, 587 nt
Filed under: Helianthus annuus (common sunflower)
Lineage: Eukaryota; Viridiplantae; Streptophyta; Magnoliopsida; Asterales; Asteraceae
Description: hypothetical non coding rna
Source: RNAcentral